UGGUGGAAUGAGAUGGACAUCAUUGGGGCUGGGAAUAUAACUCAAUUGGUAGUGAGCUUUCCUCAUAUGCACAAGGCCCUGAGUUCAAUCCCCAGCGCCAUAAAAAAAGAAAGAAAGAAAGAAAAGAGAUGGACAUGAUUACCCUAGGUACAUGUAUGAGGACACAAAUUGUGUGACUCUGUACAACCAGAGAAAUGAAAAAUGGUGCUUCAUUUGUAUACUAUGAACUGAAAUGCAUUCUGUUCUCAUGUAUAACAAAUGAGAAUAAGAAAAUAAAUAAAUAAAUAAUUUAAACACUUAUAAAAAUUGUGUCUAAAAGUAACCCUAAAGUGUCAUUUUAAUCAGAGCUCUUUUCUUCAUCCACUUUGGCUUCAGACAGAAUUUCUUCUAAGCAAAACUGAAGAUAAUUUUUUAAACUAACUUUCUUUCAGAGAAGGGAAAUCAAUUUUCAGAUUUGCUUAAAUGUUUCCAGAGUGGAAAUGGUGUUGGUCUAUAAUCAGGGUGAGUUUUCUAAUUUGAGAAAUUGAAUUUCCUGUUUAGUUCUUCCAGACCAUGCUAUAAAAUCCAUUAUAACUCUACUCUAGAAGUCCCCACAUUGUUUUGGAGGCAUAACAGUUGUGAUGAGGGAAAAAUACCAAGCCUUUUCCCUGUUGUGAACAGCAUGAGGAGAUUGUAGAUGUUCUGUUUUCUGAAAAUGAGAGCUUGCAGUUUUUUUAAUAUUUAUUUUUUUGUAGUUGUACACAAUAACUUUUAUUUAUUUUUAUGUGGCGCUGAGGUUCAAACCCAGGGCCUUGCACAUGCAAGGCAAGUGCUCUACUGCUGAGCCAUAACCUCAGCCCGAGCUGGCAGUUUUUAAAGAGUAAAGACAGGCACAAGUUCUGAUGCAUCAAAGUGACUUUACCUCUUUAUUUCCUCUGGCUUUUUUCUAUUA
RNAcentral lists this long non-coding RNA (931 nucleotides) under Marmota monax (woodchuck). Lineage: Eukaryota; Metazoa; Chordata; Mammalia; Rodentia; Sciuridae. The record is from RNAcentral.